Molecule: long non-coding RNA, 615 nt
Organism: Stegodyphus dumicola
Lineage: Eukaryota; Metazoa; Arthropoda; Arachnida; Araneae; Eresidae
Source: RefSeq, a predicted model, not a curated record
UGGAACGGGAUUCUCUUAGAGAAGCCCCUAAAAGAUAAUCUAAUAAGGAACUAACUCUGAGCUUCAUCAACGGCGUAGUAUUUCAGUCUCUCUUUGCUUUCGGGAAAAACUAACUGUUCCUAAUCCGAAUGGAAGACAGUCAAUGGCUUAUCCUGCAAACUGGGUGACAAGAAAUAGAAAAUGUCGCCAACUAAUCAGGAUGGCGACAAACACGCAGGGGCGGUAACGGAGAUGGGAAGAAAGAACAAUUGCUACUCCAUGCUACGAAGACUUCUGAAGCGUAGAACUUCCGUCGGCAUCUCCCAGAAAGAUGAAGGAUUGGUCCGCUGGUGUUGUCUACCUUGCAACUGCGACAACGACAAAAGGGAUAAUUACAGAAUGCAUUUGUCUGCUAGCGAAUUUUUCAUUGAAUAUUAAAUUCUAGUCUUCGAAAUUUUUUCUUUCUACAUUUAAAAAUAAUCAAGAAAAUCAAAGGAAUAACGAAUAAGGAAGCAUGAAGCACGAGAGAACAAGUGCCAUACAACGAGAAAUUUAAUUAUUAGAUUUCUGAGACUACACAGCCAAGACGUGAUUUUUUUUCCUAUCAACCAAUAAAAUGAAUAAUUAAAUCAUAAA